Molecule: unclassified non-coding RNA, 3513 nt
Filed under: Neodiprion lecontei (redheaded pine sawfly)
Lineage: Eukaryota; Metazoa; Arthropoda; Insecta; Hymenoptera; Diprionidae
Description: e3 ubiquitin-protein ligase Rnf220, transcript variant X6
Source: RNAcentral
CACACCGCGGAGUGAGGAUUUCGGGCGAUUUGUGAAUCGGACGUCUCCGUGCGCGAAAAGGUUGCAGGCCAAUGGUUGUCGCGUGUGCGUCGGUCGCGCAUGCGUGUCGAGGUCGGUGGGGGCACCCGCCAUGUCGUGCCCACGCACGCAGCCCGCACGCGAAAGGCCGUAGGAGGCAGGAGGGAGCCGCCGUUUCGUUUCUCCUGGAUGGACAACUCUGCUUACGUGCCGAAUCAUCUCACACCACCUUCUCUGGUCGUUUUUUCACAAGGCGGGGGCCUCCCAGAGGCUCCGAGAAUGCAAAGACCCUUCAACCCACAAUGGGGUUCGUUUUUCGAAUCUAAGGUUUCAGAUUCCAAAGAUCUUCAAGUGCCGUUCAGCACCGCGGCGUCCUUGGGUUACGGUCUGCAUCACAUGCUUCAUUUCCCGGCGCAGUUUCUCCACCCUUUGGACCCAAGGUCACCUUUCGGGGCCUUCCGGCCCCUCGGCCCGUCGGCAUUCGCGCCCCCCAGCAAAUGUCUGAAAGUUGAAACUGGGAACACGACCGUGUCAUCGGGAUUGGCGUCGAUAGGCUCGCUCUCCAGUAUGUCGAACAUGUUCUCACCGACGCUGCCGUCGAGCGGCGUCGCCGGCGGUGCCGGCGGAGUCUCGACGGCCGGGGUCGGCGAAGUCGCCCCCCAAAGUCCAGCCGGGUCUGCGAGCCGAUCCCCGCCGGGAAGCGGAAUCGGAGUCGGGCAGGGUCAAAACCGGGGCGCGACGCCCGACGACGAGGACAGGGACGCCAACGCGACACCCGGCUCCGAGAACACCGAGAGGUCGACCCCGGAGGAAGGCAGACCCUACAGACUGGGGCCCGUGUUCGGGGGUCGCUGCGGUGCGGAGGCCCUUGGAUUAGGUUUUGGAUUAUCACUCGGCCCAACCUACAGGUUCGCUCUUCCUCCGGGACUUGCUGCCAAGACCACUAGAUGCCUUGUUUUCGAUCAAGGUAAAAAGAAAUUCCCUUCCGACCCCUCAUGUUGUCCAGUAUGCGGUGUGACUGUUCGUCCCCAGGAACUUGAGCAACAUUUUGCUCAGGAACUCGACCGAUUGUACAAGGUAUCAUCGACGACACCUCGGCCAAGAUCAUCGCGAUCUUCGGGACCCCCGGGACAUCCUCAGGACCACCCUCACGCGCCGCUUCUCCACGCACCAUCGGCGGCUGACGGAACGCUCCAAGGACGAUGGGAAACUUACAAACGAAUCAAAGCCAAUAGACAAGCGAGAAUUCGUGUCAAAAAUCGAAAAAGAAAAGCUGAUGAACCGUCGUGCCCUGUGUGUAGUGAAAGAUUGUCUGGAAGUCCCGAGGAGUUGAAUCAGCAUGUUGAACGUUGCUUGAACAAACACAAUGGCAACCCUGCGGGACAAAAUCCUGGAAUCGACGACGAAGAGGUUGACGUCGAGGGAGAUCCUGAAACAUUUGAGGAAUACGAGUGGGCGGGACAACGGCGAGUUCGCGCAACCUCAAUGCUAGUUGGCGGAUUCUCGGCUGCAGGCCUGGCAACAUCGUCAAGUAAUCGAAGUAUCGCCGGCGCGCUUGGCGGUCAGCAGGAAGACGAGGAUAUAGACUUAGUAGUGGACGGUGACGAUGCUGCACAAUUUGGUCCGGCACAAUACUCGGAGGCGGAUGUCGUCGCGCCUCGUGCCGAAGGCACUCCGAGGGAACAAAAAGAGCGCGACGCACUCCGAGAGGCGGUAAUAUCGCCGCAUGCACCACACACACCCCACACUCCUCCGGAACAGCCUCAUGGUGCUCAGGUUGAGGUGAAGCCGGAACCAGGAUCCAUCCUUCCCUCAGGGCAACAUAAUCGCGAGAGCGACGAAAUCGACGCGGCGUCAAACGCCGUUUGCAGGGAUUCCGACGCCCCGGUUGUCGAAGCGUUGCGCGGAAGGAUCCGAGAUCUCGAAGCUGAAAUGCGAGUCCAACCGUUCAAGUGUCUCAUAUGCAUGGAACAAUACAAGAAACCGGUAACCUCCGUUUGCUGCUGGCACGUACACUGUGAACAAUGUUGGCUUCACACUCUGGGGGCGAAAAAAUUAUGCCCGCAGUGCAACAUGAUCACAUCGCCGGCAGACUUGAGACGCAUUUACAUGUGAGGCUGCCAACCAUCCACGUCGCGUAACUUUUCCAACCGUUCACGGUUUUCAAAAGUUCACUUGCAGACCUUGACCAAUCAUUUGUUGAUACGGUCUGACCAACGGUCCAAACGGACGCGGCAAUCCAAAUCUAAAUCUCUAUUAACCCAGUGCACACUUGUAUAUUUGUAUAUUACCUUAAAUUAAAGAUUCAUAAUAAUAAGAAGAAAAUUUGAAAAAUAACACGUCAUGCAUUUAUAGUAAUAUAGUAGGUGAAUUAAUAUCUGGACUGUAUCUUCCAAGUAUAUAUUACAUAAUUAAUUAAUUGAAAAUCGCCAUCAUGAAUACAGGUUUAAAACAUCGAUACCACAAACUGCAAACGCCUCUGUAUACAUAUUUACAAAGUCUACUCAAUCAUCAACCCACAAGGUUCUCGUGAUUCGUAAGAGUCAUUGUCGAUGGAAGAGUUCAAAGAGAUCAGGGACACUUGCAAGCAAUGUACUUGGAUGUUUUAUGCUACUUCUUGCAAGCGUCUGACCCUAUAGAUAAUUCAUUUAGUACUUCAGUCCAGAGGUGCUGAAAUAGUUUUGACAACUCUCAUCCGAACGUAAUUCGAACACGAUAUUCUGUUGAUUCAUUGCAAAGUAUAGAAAACGACCCCCGAAUUUCCUAAUCUACCGCUUAGUAAAUAUCAUCCUUUACCAGACAGUUUCUAAUCUUUUCUUCUAUGGAUGUUUAAAAUUAAAAAAAAAAAAAAAGAUCACUACCGCGAGUAUUACGAAUCAUAUCAUCGAAUGCCUGGUGCGUCUUUGAUCGAUCAAUACUUGAGGCUUUUCGAAUCUCUCUUCGCGAGGCGGUCGACGGAUACGGGUAGCUGCAACUUAAGGGGGUGCCCUGGUCGAUUUCGACGUUGACGUGCCUAUAUAUCUCCGAAUAUCCAAGUCCACGUAUCGAAAACUUGGAUAGCGGCUCCACAGUGCGAUCCUCUAUACAAUUUUGAACUAAAACACCCCAAUGCAUUUCCAUUUAACGCAGAAAUGUAUUAGUGUUUUUGUUCAGAAUUUUGUAUAUAAUCGCACUGUGAAGCCUUUUUCCCCUUUUGCGAUACGUGGACUUACACGUUCCGAGAUAUAUACGUUAACGUCGAAAUCGACCAGGGUACACCCUUAAAUACCGCGUGAACGGAGAUGGAAUGCCAAAUAAUUUUCUAUGUGAUAGGUUUGUACACGAACGAACGUAUUCAGAUAAAGUUGAGCAAAUCGAUAUACGAAUAACGUGGAAGAACUAAGAAAACUGAAGUAUAAGUGUAAAUUAAAGCGAAUAUAAACACGAAAUAAAAAGUUUCUUGCAGAAAACGUGAACAACAAUUCUGUACUCAAUAAAACGAUCAUGGAAUAUGUA